This 449-nucleotide ribosomal RNA is filed under the name uncultured bacterium. Its description in RNAcentral is "SSU rRNA". It matches the Rfam family "Bacterial small subunit ribosomal RNA", at positions 26 to 518 of the family's 1533-position model. The record is from RNAcentral.
AGAACGAACGCUGGCGGCAGGCCUCAAACAUGCAAGUCUAGGGGGUGUAGCAAUACAUCACCGGCGGACGGGUGCGUAACACGUGGGAAUAUACCUUUUGGUUCGGAACAACGCAGGGAAACUUGCGCUAAUACCGAAUGUGCCCUUACGGGGAAAGAUUUAUCGCCAAAGGAUUAGCCCGCGUAGGAUUAGCUAGUUGGUGAGGUAAUGGCUCACCAAGGCUCCGAUCCUUAGCUGUUCUGAGAGGAAGAUCAGCCACACUGGGACUGAGACACGGCCCAGACUCCUACGGGAGGCAGCAGUUGGGAAUCUUGGACAAUGGGGGAAACCCUGAUCCAGCCAUGCCGCGUGAGUGAUGAAGGCCUUCGGGUUGUAAAACUCUUUCGACGGGGUACGAUAAUGACGGUACCCGUAGAAGAAGCUCCGGCUAACUUCGCGCCAGCAGCCGC